This 910-nucleotide long non-coding RNA is filed under the name Ananas comosus (pineapple). Its description in RNAcentral is "long non-coding RNA (ACOM_LNC009325)". The record is from RNAcentral. Lineage: Eukaryota; Viridiplantae; Streptophyta; Magnoliopsida; Poales; Bromeliaceae.
UUAUAUACCCCUCAAAACUUCAAAAAUAUUUAAUUUAUUUUUUUUUUUCAAUAUAUUUCUCAUAUGUUUCUUUGUUAUUCCAAAAUAUUUCUAGAGUUACCAUCCAUUAAAGCUUAAUUUGGUAUUGAGAUCUAUCUAAUGCUAUUAGAUAAAAUGGAGUUGAGGAAAAAGCAUAUAGGGAUGGAUAUGCUUCUGCGUUCUCCGGUGGAACCGCAGAAAAUAUAUCGUAACCGAUCCGACUCAUCGCGAUAUGCGGAACUCAAUAUUACUUACGGAAACAAAUAGUAUAUUUUCCAUCGUACUUUCUCACCGCACGUAACGCAAUCUCCCCGCAAUUCCAAACGAAGCCUAAUAUGAAUUAAAUAUCUACCAGAGUUAAAAAAAAUCAAAAUAUCUCUUUUGUCCCUUACUUAAGGCAAAUAAGAAAUAUUGGUGAUGACAAAAGGGUAUGUUUGAAAAGACAAAAAAUUAAAAUAUUUUUUGUGCUCCUAAUUUAAGGGCAAAUAAAAAACGUCGGUGAUCGUAGAAGAGUAUAUGGGCAAAAUAGUAAUUUUACAGAGAUAACUGCUAUUGCUAACAGUUCAUUAACAAUUUAACUCUAGAUGUAUAUUUAAAAUAGGUUGGAACGUAAAAAAAAUAUUUUUAAUAUUAGUCUUUUAAGAUGGGUCAAUUAGGAAGUUGGAAACUUUUCAAGGUUAUAUAUAAGUAUUUGCCCCUAAAAGUAAUGUUCACAAGAAGCUUGACAAAAAAUUCGAAACACGAAUCUGAACUCGUUUCGAAAUCGAAGCAAUUAUUUCUCUUUACGAUAUUUCAAAAUAUAUUAUAUUAAAUCUUAAUUUUUAAAAUAUAAAUUCAAAUAUAACAUCAAACAUAUAUAUAUAUAUAUAUAUAUAUAUUAAUUUUAAAAUCA